CACCAGGUUGAUUCUGCCUGACGUGGGUGCUAGCCUCUAAGAUUUAGCCAUGCAUGCUUUGUGAACCCAGACGGGGGAACGGCGAACGGCUCAGUAAUGUUGCGGUGAUCUGCUCUGGUUGAGAAAGAUAACCACGGUAAACUGUGGCUAAGAGACCAGAAUGAGCUGCAACCCUAUCAGUUUGUUGGAAGUGUAAAAGACUCCCAAGACGUCGACGGGUAACGGGAAAUCAGUGUUUGAUUCCGGAGAGGGAGCCUGAGAGAUGGCUCCCACGUCCAAGGAUGGCAGCAGGCGCGAAAAUUGUCCACUCUUUGGAGAGGAGACAGUUAUGAGGCGUGAUUAAAAGAGCGAAGUGUAAACACCUUCGUGUAACGCAAUUGGAGGGCAAGUUUUGGUGCCAGCAGCCGCGGUAAUUCCAACUCCAAGAGUGCCCAUGGUGGAUGCUGCAGUUAAAAAGUCCGUAGUCGUAGAUGCAAUUAAAGGGUGCGGAUCAAGCGCACUGAGUUUGUUGAGUUGUAGCGGAGCGGAUAGGGAGCAUGGUAUAGGUUGGCGAAGAAUGAAAUUCUCAAGACCCAACCUGGACCAAAUGAGGCGAAAGCGGUGCUCUUAUACGCAUCCGAGGAUCAAAGGACGAAGGCUGGAGGAUCGAAAGUGAUUAGAUACCGCUGUAGUUCCAGCAGUAAACUAUGCCGACAUUCUCUGUCCAGCGGACGGGGAAGGGAGAAAUCUUAGUUUUCGGGCUCUGGGGAUAGUACGCUUGCAAGAGUGAAACUUAAAGCGAAAUUGACGGAAGGACACUAACCAGGAGUGGAUUGUACUGCUUAAUUUGACUCAACGCGGGAAAACUUACCAGGGUCAAGUUCUCCGUAGAUCGAGUACGUGAGGGGAACGAGAGUGGUGCAUGGCCGUUGGAAAUUGAUGGGAUGACUUUUAGCUUAAAUGCUGAAACCAGUGAGAUCUUCUAGACAGGUGCCAUCCGGCACAGGAGGGCGAAGGCGAUAACAGGUCCGUGAUGCCCUUAGAUAUCCUGGGCUGCAAGUGCAAUACAAUAUCCAUGUCGAUCAAGAAAGGUGAUUAUGGAUGAGCAGGAUUAGCUCUUGUAAAUGAGCUAUGAAUGAGGAAUUCCUAGUAACAGUGUCUCACUAAGGCAUUGUGAAUGCGUCCCUGUUCUUUGUACACACCGCCCGUCACUAUUUCAGAUGGCCAUGAAGAUGAAGAGCUUCGGUUCUGAAUAUUCAUGUCUAGAUAAAGUACAAGUCGUAACAAGGUUGC
RNAcentral lists this ribosomal RNA (1272 nucleotides) under Nucleospora salmonis. RNAcentral describes it as "SSU rRNA". It matches the Rfam family "Microsporidia small subunit ribosomal RNA". The record is from RNAcentral. Lineage: Eukaryota; Fungi; Microsporidia; Enterocytozoonidae.